Molecule: long non-coding RNA, 455 nt
Organism: Amphimedon queenslandica
Lineage: Eukaryota; Metazoa; Porifera; Demospongiae; Haplosclerida; Niphatidae
Exons: 2
Source: RefSeq, a predicted model, not a curated record
UGUGUAAACGGAAAAGAGGUUUAACCAGUGCUCUUUAAAUGGAAAAGAAAUAGUCUUUGUGCAGUUUGUGGAUCUCGAGUGAAACAGACGGGAACAGAGAAGAAGCUUGGAUCUAUAUCACAGGUGGUUCAGAAUAGCCGUUACUGCGGGCAGCGGCACUGUCAACUGUUGGUGCCAGAACUGGUUCAAAUUCAUGAUUGACUUCGUCAUCAUCAUCAUCGGAAUCUAUUCAUACUUUUCACAUAAUGAAAAUUUAUUAGUAUUUACCAUUGAAAUCUUCAGUAUCUUGUGACUUGGAUGUAUCAAUCAGCACUGUUGGAAGUGAAGCUGGUCUAUCACCAAGAAUACUAUCCAUUUGUUUAAAGAACUGGAAAGUCUUUCUUCCAUUCCCAGUUAUAUUAUUGUGGUCUUUUAUUCUUUUAUAUUCUGUCUUAAGAUUCUUGAUUUUAGAUCUA